This 253-nucleotide ribosomal RNA is filed under the name uncultured bacterium. RNAcentral describes it as "partial 16S ribosomal RNA". It matches the Rfam family "Bacterial small subunit ribosomal RNA", at positions 524 to 776 of the family's 1533-position model. The record is from RNAcentral.
GACGUAGGGCGCGAGCGUUGUCCGGAUUUAUUGGGCGUAAAGAGCUCGUAGGCGGCUCGUUGCGUCGGCUGUGAAAACCCGCAGCUCAACUGUGGGCUUGCAGCUGAUACGGGCGGGCUGGGAUUCGGUAGGGGAGACUGGAAUUCCUGGUGUAGCGGUGAAAUGCGCAGAUAUCAGGAGGAACACCGGUGGCGAAGGCGGGUCUCUGGGCCGAUAUCGACGCUGAGGAGCGAAAACGUGGGGAGCGAACAGG